GAUGAACGCUGGCGGCGUGCCUAAUACAUGCAAGUCGAGCGAACAGACGAGGAGCUUGCUCCUCUGACGUGAGCGGCAGGCGGGUGAGUAACACGUGGAUAACCUACCUAUCAGACUGGGAUAACUUCGAGAAACCGGAGCUAAUACCGGAUAAGCUAUUGAACCGCAUGGUUCAAUAGAGAGAGACGGUGUUGCUGUCACUUAUCGAUGGAUACGAGCUGCAUUAGGUAGUUGGUAAGGUCACGGCUUACCAAGGCAACCAUGCGUAACCGAACUGACGGGGGGAUCGGCCACACUGGAACUGAGACACGGUCCAGACUACUACGGGAGGCAGCAGUAGGGAAUCGGCCGCAAUGGGCGGAAGCCUGACGGAGCAGCCGGGAGCGAGUGGUGAAGGCGUCCGGUGCGGGAUAAUCUGUUAUUAGGGAAGAACAAAUGUGGAAGGAACUGAGGCCUGCUUGACGGUACCUGGUCAGAAAGCCCCGGCUAACUACGUG
RNAcentral lists this ribosomal RNA (497 nucleotides) under uncultured bacterium. Its description in RNAcentral is "partial 16S ribosomal RNA". It matches the Rfam family "Bacterial small subunit ribosomal RNA", at positions 28 to 507 of the family's 1533-position model. The record is from RNAcentral.